Molecule: ribosomal RNA, 253 nt
Filed under: uncultured bacterium
Lineage: Bacteria
Description: partial 16S ribosomal RNA
Rfam family: Bacterial small subunit ribosomal RNA
Source: RNAcentral
UACGGGGGGGGCAAGCGUUGUUCGGAAUUAUUGGGCGUAAAGGGCGGGUAGGCGGUUGGUUAAGUCCUUCGUGAAAGCCCACGGCUCAACCGGGGAAGGGCGGGUGAUACUGUUUAUCUUGAGUCCGGGAGAGGGGGGUGGAAUUCCCGGUGUAGCGGUGAAAUGCGUAGAUAUUGGGAGGAACACCGGUGGCGAAGGCGGCCCCCUGGACGGGUACUGACGCUGAGGCGCGAAAGCUAGGGGAGCAAACAGG